This 255-nucleotide ribosomal RNA is filed under the name uncultured bacterium. RNAcentral's name for it is "partial 16S ribosomal RNA". It matches the Rfam family "Bacterial small subunit ribosomal RNA", at positions 524 to 776 of the family's 1533-position model. The record is from RNAcentral.
UACAGAGGUCUCAAGCGUUGUUCGGAUUCAUUGGGCGUAAAGGGUGCGUAGGCGGCGCGGUAAGUCGGGUGUGAAAUCUCGGAGCUUAACUCCGAAACUGCAUUCGAUACUGCCGUGCUUGAGGACUGGAGAGGAGACUGGAAUUUACGGUGUAGCGGUGAAAUGCGUAGAUAUCUGGAGGAACACCGGUGGCGAAGGCGGCAUCCUGGACCGGUAUUGACGGCCUGAGGCGCGAAAGCUAGGGGAGCAAACGGG